RNAcentral lists this ribosomal RNA (440 nucleotides) under uncultured bacterium. RNAcentral describes it as "partial 16S ribosomal RNA". It matches the Rfam family "Bacterial small subunit ribosomal RNA", at positions 338 to 795 of the family's 1533-position model. The record is from RNAcentral.
CCUACGGGUGGCAGCAGUGGGGAAUAUUGCACAAUGGAGGGAACUCUGAUGCAGCGACGCCGCGUGAGUGAAGAAGUAAUUCGUUAUGUAAAGCUCUAUCAGCCGGGAAGAAAGUGACGGUACCUGAAAAAGAAGCUCCGGCUAAAUACGUGCCAGCAGCCGCGGUAAUACGUAUGGAGCAAGCGUUAUCCGGAUUUACUGGGUGUAAAGGGAGAGUAGGUGGCAGAGCAAGUCCGAAGUGAAAACCCAAAGCUCAACAAGGGGAAUGCUUUAGAAACUGCUCAGCUAGAGUGCAGGAGAGGCAAGUGGAAUUCUUAGUGUAGCGGUGAAAUGCGUAGAUAUUAGGAGGAAUACCGUUAGCGAAGGCGGCAAUCUGGCUGGAAACUGACGCUGAGGUGCGAAAGCGUGGGUAGCAAACAGGAUUAGAUACCCUAGUAGUC